CUACGUGCCAGCAGCCGCGGUAAUACAGAGGGUGCAAGCGUUAAUCGGAAUUACUGGGCGUAAAGCGAGCGUAGGUGGUCAUUUAAGUCAGAUGUGAAAUCCCCGGGCUUAACCUGGGAACUGCAUCUGAUACUGGGUGACUAGAGUAGGUGAGAGGGAAGUAGAAUUCCAGGUGUAGCGGUGAAAUGCGUAGAGAUCUGGAGGAAUACCGAUGGCGAAGGCAGCUUCCUGGCGUCAUACUGACACUGAGGUUCGAAAGCGUGGGUAGCAAACAGGAUUAGAUACCCUGGUAGUCCACGCCGUAACCGAUGUCUACCAGUCGUUGGGUCUCUUGAAGACUUAGUGACGCAGUUAACGCGAUAAGUAGACCGCCUGGGGAGUACGGCCGCAAGGUUAAAACUCAAAUGAAUUGACGGGGGCCCGCACAAGCGGUGGAGCAUGUGGUUUAAUUCGAUGCAACGCGAAGAACCUUACCUGG
This 478-nucleotide ribosomal RNA is filed under the name uncultured bacterium. Its description in RNAcentral is "bacterial SSU rRNA". It matches the Rfam family "Bacterial small subunit ribosomal RNA", at positions 501 to 978 of the family's 1533-position model. The record is from RNAcentral.